UGGGAUAUAGCCAAGUCGGUAAGGCACCAGGUUUUGAUCCUGGCAUGCGUAGGUUCGAGUCCUGCUAUCCCAGCCA
Molecule: transfer RNA, 76 nt
Filed under: Senegalia massiliensis
Lineage: Bacteria; Bacillati; Bacillota; Clostridia; Eubacteriales; Clostridiaceae
Description: tRNA-Gln
Rfam family: tRNA
About the family: Transfer RNA (tRNA) molecules are approximately 80 nucleotides in length. Their secondary structure includes four short double-helical elements and three loops (D, anti-codon, and T loops). Further hydrogen bonds mediate the characteristic L-shaped molecular structure. tRNAs have two regions of fundamental functional importance: the anti-codon, which is responsible for specific mRNA codon recognition, and the 3' end, to which the tRNAs corresponding amino acid is attached (by aminoacyl-tRNA synthetases). tRNAs cope with the degeneracy of the genetic code in two manners: having more than one tRNA (with a specific anti-codon) for a particular amino acid; and 'wobble' base-pairing, i.e. permitting non-standard base-pairing at the 3rd anti-codon position.
Source: RNAcentral